RNAcentral lists this unclassified non-coding RNA (335 nucleotides) under soil metagenome. Its description in RNAcentral is "partial contains 5.8S ribosomal RNA, internal transcribed spacer 2, and large subunit ribosomal RNA". The stretch from base 1 to 120 matches the Rfam family "5.8S ribosomal RNA", at positions 35 to 154 of the family's 154-position model. The record is from RNAcentral.
GAUGAAGAACGUAGCGAAAUGCGAUAAGUAAUGUGAAUUGCAGAAUUCAGUGAAUCAUCGAAUCUUUGAACGCACAUUGCGCCCGCCAGUAUUCUGGCGGGCAUGCCUGUUCGAGCGUCAUUUCAACCAUCAAGCCCCCGGCUUGUGUUGGGGACCUGCGGCUGCCGCAGGCCCUGAAAACCAGUGGCGGGCUCGCUAGUCACUCCGAGCGUAGUAAUACAUCUCGCUCAGGGCGUGCUGCGGGUUCCGGCCGUUAAAAGCCUUAUUUUACCCAAGGUUGACCUCGGAUCAGGUAGGAAGACCCGCUGAACUUAAGCAUAUCAAUAAGUGGAGGA